This 797-nucleotide ribosomal RNA is filed under the name Bacillus velezensis. Its description in RNAcentral is "bacterial SSU rRNA". It matches the Rfam family "Bacterial small subunit ribosomal RNA", at positions 576 to 1373 of the family's 1533-position model. The record is from RNAcentral. Lineage: Bacteria; Bacillati; Bacillota; Bacilli; Caryophanales; Bacillaceae.
CGGUUUCUUAAGUCUGAUGUGAAAGCCCCCGGCUCAACCGGGGAGGGUCAUUGGAAACUGGGGAACUUGAGUGCAGAAGAGGAGAGUGGAAUUCCACGUGUAGCGGUGAAAUGCGUAGAGAUGUGGAGGAACACCAGUGGCGAAGGCGACUCUCUGGUCUGUAACUGACGCUGAGGAGCGAAAGCGUGGGGAGCGAACAGGAUUAGAUACCCUGGUAGUCCACGCCGUAAACGAUGAGUGCUAAGUGUUAGGGGGUUUCCGCCCCUUAGUGCUGCAGCUAACGCAUUAAGCACUCCGCCUGGGGAGUACGGUCGCAAGACUGAAACUCAAAGGAAUUGACGGGGGCCCGCACAAGCGGUGGAGCAUGUGGUUUAAUUCGAAGCAACGCGAAGAACCUUACCAGGUCUUGACAUCCUCUGACAAUCCUAGAGAUAGGACGUCCCCUUCGGGGGCAGAGUGACAGGUGGUGCAUGGUUGUCGUCAGCUCGUGUCGUGAGAUGUUGGGUUAAGUCCCGCAACGAGCGCAACCCUUGAUCUUAGUUGCCAGCAUUCAGUUGGGCACUCUAAGGUGACUGCCGGUGACAAACCGGAGGAAGGUGGGGAUGACGUCAAAUCAUCAUGCCCCUUAUGACCUGGGCUACACACGUGCUACAAUGGACAGAACAAAGGGCAGCGAAACCGCGAGGUUAAGCCAAUCCCACAAAUCUGUUCUCAGUUCGGAUCGCAGUCUGCAACUCGACUGCGUGAAGCUGGAAUCGCUAGUAAUCGCGGAUCAGCAUGCCGCGGUGAAUACGUUC